AUCACACUCUCUCCGUCCGGAAAUACGUGUCCUAAAAAUGGUUGUAUCUAAACUUAUUUUUGUUAUAGAUACAUCCAUUUUAUUCAUUUUUAGGAUAAGUAUUUCCGGACCAAGGGAGUAGUAC
Non-coding RNA from Triticum aestivum (bread wheat), 124 nucleotides. Lineage: Eukaryota; Viridiplantae; Streptophyta; Magnoliopsida; Poales; Poaceae. The record is from Rfam.